UGGGGAAUAUUGCACAAUGGGCGCAAGCCUGAUGCAGCCAUGCCGCGUGUGUGAAGAAGGCCUUCGGGUUGUAAAGCACUUUCAGCGAGGAGGAAGGUGGUGAGCUUAAUACGCUCAUCAAUUGACGUUACUCGCAGAAGAAGCACCGGCUAACUCCGUGCCAGCAGCCGCGGUAAUACGGAGGGUGCAAGCGUUAAUCGGAAUUACUGGGCGUAAAGCGCACGCAGGCGGUUUGUUAAGUCAGAUGUGAAAAUCCCCGGGCUCAACCUGGGAACUGCAUUUGAAACUGGCAAGCUAGAGUCUCGUAGAGGGGGGUAGAAUUCCAGGUGUAGCGGUGAAAUGCGUAGAGAUCUGGAGGAAUACCGGUGGCGAAGGCGGCCCCCUGGACGAAGACUGACGCUCAGGUGCGAAAAGCGUGGGGAGCAAACAGAUUAGAUACCCUGGUAGUCCACGCUGUAAAACGAUGUCGA
Molecule: ribosomal RNA, 470 nt
Filed under: uncultured bacterium
Lineage: Bacteria
Description: partial 16S ribosomal RNA
Rfam family: Bacterial small subunit ribosomal RNA
Source: RNAcentral